GAGAGUCCCAAAAUAAAAUAAAAAAACUACAAAGAAGGAAAAUAAAAAAACAAAAUCAGAUAGAAAAUCCAACAUCUGACCACCAUAGCUAUGACUUCACUUUCUCAAAACACCAUUGAGAGCAAAUCAAAGCUGAGGAGAUCAGCCUUGAGAGGAAGAUGAAGCCUCGAUAUACCCAAUCCAAUCUUGAAUCCACAGUCCCCAAACGAUGAAUGAGCUCUGGGUACAUUCUCUGUAGGUGUUUUCAGGUUUCACAAAUGUCGUGAAUAGAUCUCAAAUGAAGACUUCUUCAGCUCCUCCUACCAUGGAUCUAGGAUGUCUCAAUUAGAUAUGAGUUAAGCUUCCUUUAACUUCCCCAAAGAUAUAGGUUUUUUGGUUAAAUUCUGAGAUGCCUUCCUCCCAAGGAAGGUUGAGCUCACCAAGGAGUUGAUACCACUGCCUAUAGAAGUUGCUCCCUUUUUGAUCUGAUCAAAGACCAUUUCAGCUUCUUCAGAUACUUCCAUCGCUUAUUAACUACUCUCUGAAUCACGACAUGUAUGAUCAAUCUUCUGUAUGUGCGCAUUGUGCGCAUUGAUGAUAUAUGUAGCCUUGAACCCUUGACUGUUUUAAUAUUCUGAUGAUCUUUGAAACCUACAGAAUUCUUUUUCA
Molecule: long non-coding RNA, 648 nt
Organism: Solanum dulcamara
Lineage: Eukaryota; Viridiplantae; Streptophyta; Magnoliopsida; Solanales; Solanaceae
Exons: 2
Source: RefSeq, a predicted model, not a curated record